AGUGUCCCUUUUACACGUGUGAGGAUAGGGAGUAGUGGAGCUAGUAAUGAUUGGGGGAGAGGAUAGGAGAUAAAUCGUAUGAUCGCUGGCAUAUCGCGAGAAAACGGUUACAGGUGUGGGAGUAGGAGUGAAAAGGACGUGAGUACCCCAGAAGAACCCCACAUAUUUCUAUAAAUAGGGAGAGGGAAGAGUCCUUGUAAUAUCCCUUGUAGCUCUUGUUUCCUCCUUUAUCCUCUCCCCCUUCCUCUUGUUUCCUUUCUCUCUCUCCCUUUAUAGCCCUCUCUAAUUUCCGUCUCUCUCAAAAUCUCAUUGCUUCUUUAAAGCCCUCUCUCUAAUUUCCUUCUCUCUCUCACAGUCUCAUUACUUUUUUAUUAAUCUAUCUUUCUCACACACACACAAUCCAAUUUUUCCUUAUAACCCUCUCUAAUUUCCUCCUCCCUCUCUCCACAUAAAGAGAGAGGAGGCAUGGGUUAUUCCCUCUCUCUCACACACAAAGUAAAGAGGAGACAUGAGUGAUGUUGUUGACAGAAGAUAGAGAGCACAGAUGAUGAUAUGCACAGCCGUUUGCAUCUCACUCCUUUGUGCUCUCUAUGCUUCUGUCAUCACAUUCAACCCCUUCCCCAACCCAUUCUUAUCUCUCUAAUUUAAUUCUUCUCAUUGUCAUAGAUUUUAUAUGUAGCAUUAAUCCAUUUGUUAUAACAUGAUUGUUUUAUUUUUAUUUUUAAAAUUUUUUGCUUUGUAUCUACAGAUCUGGCAGACAUAGUCUGGUACAUAAGUCAUUUUGUUGACUCUAGUAGGCUGUGCAACCUCAGUAAGAACUGCCCAAUCAAUUAUAGAGAUAAAAAGAUUGUAAGGAGGAUGAUUGCGUGGUUCAUACUUCUUGGUCAGGUCGCUGAAGAUACAUUGGCAUGUAUGUCACAGUUCAGAUGGGUCCUCAAGUCUCUGAUUCAAGGAGAUGCACAUAUUCAACAAGCUAUUGAUGAUUGUAUGAAGAGCUGUUCUUAUGAUUUUGAAUUUCAAUUGUAAAACGCAAUUUUUUUUAAUGUAUGAAAGACAACAAAUUUGUGACUUAAACAGUACAUUAAGAGUUCUUUUUUGUUUGUUUAUUCAUGGGUUCUGAAUUUCAAUCGCGGUGUAACUUUUAAUCUAUAACUGACUUGAAAUACAAAGAUUGUGACUAUUCUUUAUUUAUUU
Magnolia sinica is the source of this 1194-nucleotide long non-coding RNA. RefSeq lists it as uncharacterized. The record is from RefSeq and is a predicted model, not a curated record. The transcript is spliced from 2 exons. Lineage: Eukaryota; Viridiplantae; Streptophyta; Magnoliopsida; Magnoliales; Magnoliaceae.